This 281-nucleotide long non-coding RNA is filed under the name Ficedula albicollis (Collared flycatcher). Its description in RNAcentral is "lncRNA (ENSFALG00000026669.1)". The record is from RNAcentral. Lineage: Eukaryota; Metazoa; Chordata; Aves; Passeriformes; Muscicapidae.
AGAGACCCUUUGCAAAAGAGAGCCUAACAAGCAUCAUCAUCUGAUGAAGAAUAACUUCUUAAGCAUCUGCCAAGCACCUGAUAAAAGGUUCAACCAGAUGCUGCUUAACGUCCAUCAGAAGCAAAUCUGGGCUUUUUAGGAACACAGGAUGUCUAAAGGAUGUGGAUGUGUUGGGAUGAAAAUGAAGUUACCAAUAGCUGACACCAAGAAAAAAAUCAAUAAUGCCUUUACAAAGUAAAAACCCAGACCACAGGAAAUUCAUUACAGCCUACUGCUGUCUG